GGGAACUCACCUGAUCACCACGAGGCCAUCACCUACGGUCAGCUGCUUGGACAGGUGUGCAGGUGUUCCAACACUCUGAAGCAGAUGGGAGUGAGGAAGGAGACAGGGUGGCCAUCUACCUCCCUAUGAUUCCAGAGCUGGUGUACACCAUGCUGGCCUGCAGCAGGAUAGGAGCUGUCCACUCCAUCGUGUUUGCAGGCUUCUCCGCUGAGUCUCUGUGUGAGAGGAUCAUGGAUUCCCAGUGUAGUAUCCUGGUGACUGCAGGUAAGAUAGAGCCCUGGGC
This is a long non-coding RNA of Oncorhynchus masou masou (cherry salmon), 283 nucleotides long. RefSeq lists it as uncharacterized. The transcript has 3 exons. The record is from RefSeq and is a predicted model, not a curated record. Lineage: Eukaryota; Metazoa; Chordata; Actinopteri; Salmoniformes; Salmonidae.